Molecule: long non-coding RNA, 995 nt
Organism: Scleropages formosus (Asian bonytongue)
Lineage: Eukaryota; Metazoa; Chordata; Actinopteri; Osteoglossiformes; Osteoglossidae
Exons: 3
Source: RefSeq, a predicted model, not a curated record
CUUUUAUUGGUUCUUAAAACCCGAAAUUGACACUUGUUUAUUCUAAGAUAUGACCAAAUCCCAUGAAAUAGACAGUUACUUCAAUAUUUAUCAUUGUUUAUUAUAACACAGCAUAAGAGUGGAGUUUCCUCCAUGAAUCACUCUAGUACUGGACUAUACUGCACUGUACUAUACCAUGCUGUGUACCUGCCCUGCUUUGGCUUUGUUAUACCUGUAACGUACCAAAGACUAAUCUGACACUGAAAAACAAAACACACACACCAGGCACUCAGAAUGUCAAGGGACUCAGACUGGAGAUUGAGGAUGAGGUUGUGGACCCAGUCAUGGGGAUCUUUAUUUUCUAGAAAAAAUGGGGCAAUCCAAAAUCAAGGUCUGGGACAGGUGGGAAUCUUCCAAGGUGCUUACGUCGUCCAGGGCAUGAGACAAGAGUCAGAAUCUGUCAAAUUAGACUGUAGGUCGGGAACAUGGAAUCUCAAGAACCAGGAACAACAAGGGCAAAGGGGCAAGGAAGACCAGAAAGGAGGGACACUGAGGAAUAACCAUAAAGCCCAAAAAUAGGACAGAGAUGCUCAGUGAAUGUGGAGGUGAACCUGUACAGGAGGAACUUGGAGGCAGAGCGUCAAACGCCAGUAGCUGAGACGGCAUCUUUGAAAAGAAUGGAGUCCCUGUUCACCUCACUCCUAUUGCAGCCCCAUAUCCAGUCCACUGAACCUCCCAGUAACAGCGACCAGACAGACUCUCUACACACACAGAACUUGUCUAUAACAGUCAAAUCUGUCUGGAUAAUCAGGAUGUGGCUGUUUCUCUUUACUCCAUGUCACCUUUCUGUUGUCCUGAGACAGAUACAGGAGUGUGUGUGCUGUGUUGGGGUCCAGUGUGAGCUGGCAGGAGUCUGCAGAUGAAACACAGUUAAAACACUGUAAAAAUAGUGUUAAAUGUCCAGAUAAAAAACAGAUUUUACCAAAUCCUGUUAAUGUAACCUUGAGAUACUGGAU